Molecule: non-coding RNA, 74 nt
Filed under: Alicyclobacillus tolerans
Lineage: Bacteria; Bacillati; Bacillota; Bacilli; Caryophanales; Alicyclobacillaceae
Source: RNAcentral
UAGAGCGGUUUGCGGGAAAACCGCACGAGCCGUUCAUUGAGGGGCUGGCCUCGGAAGAGGUCGGCCUACUCUAU